GGUGGUAGCUCAAUCGGUAGAGCACUCGCCUGUCACGCGAGAGGUUGCGGGUUCAAAUCCCGUCCACC
This 68-nucleotide transfer RNA is filed under the name marine eukaryotic metagenome. It matches the Rfam family "tRNA". From Rfam's summary of the family: Transfer RNA (tRNA) molecules are approximately 80 nucleotides in length. Their secondary structure includes four short double-helical elements and three loops (D, anti-codon, and T loops). Further hydrogen bonds mediate the characteristic L-shaped molecular structure. tRNAs have two regions of fundamental functional importance: the anti-codon, which is responsible for specific mRNA codon recognition, and the 3' end, to which the tRNAs corresponding amino acid is attached (by aminoacyl-tRNA synthetases). tRNAs cope with the degeneracy of the genetic code in two manners: having more than one tRNA (with a specific anti-codon) for a particular amino acid; and 'wobble' base-pairing, i.e. permitting non-standard base-pairing at the 3rd anti-codon position. The record is from RNAcentral.